RNAcentral lists this ribosomal RNA (382 nucleotides) under uncultured eukaryote. RNAcentral describes it as "partial 18S ribosomal RNA". It matches the Rfam family "Eukaryotic small subunit ribosomal RNA", at positions 592 to 976 of the family's 1831-position model. The record is from RNAcentral.
CAAUAGCGUAUAUUAACGUUGUUGCAGUUAAAAAGCUCGUAGUUGGACUUCUGCGGGUGGCGGCCGGUCGUGCUCGAAACGGGCGUGAACUUGGCGUGCUGCCCGCAUCUUUGGGGAGAUUGUGCGUGGCAUUAAGUUGUCGUGCAUGGGAUUCUCAUCAUUUACUGUGAAAAAAUUAGAGUGUUUAAAGCAGGCCUUUGCCUUGAAUACAUUAGCAUGGAAUAAUAAGAUAGGACCGUUGUCUAUUUUGUUGGUUUACAGAUGUCGGUAAUGAUUAAUAGGGAUAGUUGGGGGUAUUCGUAUUCAGUUGUCAGAGGUGAAAUUCUUGGAUUUUCGGAAGACGCACGACUGCGAAAGCAUUUACCAAGGAUGUUUUCAUUAA